GAUGAACGCUGGCGGCGUGCCUAAUACAUGCAAGUCGAGCGAACAGACGAGGAGCUUGCUCCUCUGACGUUAGCGGCGGACGGGUGAGUAGCACGUGGAUAACCUACCUAUAAGACUGGGAUAACUUCGGGAAACCGGAGCUAAUACCGGAUAAUAUAUUGAACCGCAUGGUUCAAUAGUGAAGGACGGUUUUGCUGUCACUUAUAGAUGGAUCCGCGCCGCAUUAGCUAGUUGGUAAGGUAACGGCUUACCAAGGCAACGAUGCGUAGCCGACCUGAGAGGGUGAUCGGCCACACUGGAACUGAGACACGGUCCAGACUCCUACGGGAGGCAGCAGUAGGGAAUCUUCCGCAAAGGGCGAAAGCCUGACGGAGCAACGCCGCGUGAGUGAUGAAGGUCUUCGGAUCGUAAAACUCUGUUAUUAGGGAAGAACAAAUGUGUAAGUAACUAUGCACGUCUUGACGGUACCUAAUCAGAAAGCCACGGCUAACUACGUG
RNAcentral lists this ribosomal RNA (497 nucleotides) under uncultured bacterium. Its description in RNAcentral is "partial 16S ribosomal RNA". It matches the Rfam family "Bacterial small subunit ribosomal RNA", at positions 28 to 507 of the family's 1533-position model. The record is from RNAcentral.